This is a long non-coding RNA of Oncorhynchus masou masou (cherry salmon), 459 nucleotides long. RefSeq lists it as uncharacterized. The record is from RefSeq and is a predicted model, not a curated record. NCBI's taxonomy places the organism in Eukaryota, Metazoa, Chordata, Actinopteri, Salmoniformes, Salmonidae. The transcript is spliced from 3 exons.
CCGACCUUCCUUCACGGGUAGUUCUGGGGAUUUACCUUCAUGAGACAUUUCGUGGACUCCUCGUGUGAAUGGCAUCUAAUUUAUUGUCUGUCUAGUAUAGCCUGCUGGAUUGUACAGUAAAUGCGCGUUUUGCAGAUUAGAGAUAGUUUUUCUUUGUUUCAAUGGCGACGUGUGCGUUACAUGUAUGAUUCCCAAUGACAAUUGGAAAUGUGUUGUUUUUGAGCUGUGAAAAUGAUUCGCGGAAGGAAAGCUACUUGCUUUUGACCUAACGAAAAUGAAGUUACUUCUCACGGUGGGAUUGUUGGCGUUUGUCUCUACUUCAUCAAGUCUACGGAUCUUGGAAUGGCCGACACUAAACUGUACUCAAGAGGGUUUGAGAUGCGAAGCCAACAUCAAUAACUGCCUGGAUCCUGGGUGGUUGAAGCCUCGGCGCUACACUCCUAACAGCCCAGUGAACCU